RNAcentral lists this long non-coding RNA (2105 nucleotides) under Nicotiana tabacum (common tobacco). Its description in RNAcentral is "long non-coding RNA (NTAB_LNC012546)". Lineage: Eukaryota; Viridiplantae; Streptophyta; Magnoliopsida; Solanales; Solanaceae. The record is from RNAcentral.
UUGGAGAGCUGACGCAUGACAUGAAAACUGUCUCUCAUAGCAUGCAUAAAUUACACUUGUUUAUGCAAUGAGUUCUUUACUACUCCAUCUAUUUCUUCCGAAAAUGGUCAUUGCUGAUAGUACAUUAAAUACGGUUUUCAGUACUCAAUUUAGAAUGUUCUUAAACGAGCAUAAAAAGCAGGUUUCUCCCGGACGAUGACGAGCAGCAAAGUACGCUCUUUGCAACUUGCAACCUAAGCUCCACACAUGGAUAAACGAUCACCUGUUGGACAAAAUAAUGAUAGACAAUUGUUAUAACAACUACAUUUUCCACGCUCUGCCUCUACCAAAAUUCAGUCAAUAAAAAGUGACAGACGAUAACAAGAACAACCCAGUAAAAUCCCACAAGUGAGGUUUGGGGAGGGUAGAGUGUACGCACACCUUACGCCUACCCCAAGGGGGUAUAGGUUGUUUUUGAUAUAUCCUCGGCUCAAGCAGAUGAAAAAGACAAUAUAUCACUAUCAACAACAGAAAGCAUAGAAAUAAUAAUAGCAUUAUAAGUACCAGAAAAUAAAUGAAAAACAAUAACAGUAACACGUAAGAAAGGCUCGGUACUAUGAAAAGUGAAAGAAAAGUGUGGAAACAAUAAUAACCACUAGCACUCUAGGACACAACCCUAUCAGACUAGCCUCUCACCCGGUACGAAGUAGACAAGAGCUCCAUUACCUCAUAACCUACAACCCUAAUGCUAGACCUCAACACCUUCCUAUCAAGGGCCAUGUCCUCGAAAAUCUAAAGCCUCGCCAUGUCCUGCCUGAACACCUCUCCCAAAUACUUCUUGGGCCGCCCUCUACCUCUUCUCAUACUCGUCAAAGCCAACCGCUCACAUCUCCUUACUGGGGCAUUCGGAAUUCUCCUCCGCACGUGCCCGAACCAUCUGAGCCUAGCUUCCCACAUCUUGUCAUCCAUCGGGGCCGCGCCCACCUUCUCUCGAAUAUCUUCAUCCCUAAUCAUAUCCAUCCUAGUGUGCCCGUACGUCCAACUCAACAUCCUUAUUUCUGCUAAUUUCAUCUUCUGGAUAUGAAAGUUCUUGACCGGCCAAUACUCUGCCCCAUACAACAUGGCUGGUCUAACCACCGCUCUAUAGAACUUACCUUUGAGCCUCAGUGGCACCUUUUUGUCACAUAGGACUCUAGAUGCUAACUUCCACUUCUUCCAACUCACCCCUAUACGGUGUGCAACAUCCUCAUCGAUUUCCCCAUCCCCUGGAUAACCGACCCAAGAUGCUUGAAACUGCUUCUCUUGGGGAUGACCUGUGAUUCGAGCGUCACGUCCAUGACCACUUCCCUCGACUCGGCACUGAACUUAUACUCCAGGUAUUCUGUCUUAGUCCUGCUAAACUUGAAACCCUUAGACAAGGGGGAUCUAUUUCUAGUAUGCUCACAUAGGCCAUGUCCUAUCAUUUUCCUUGAAGAAUUAACUUAAAUAAUUGUCUACUCAACCGCUUAAACUAAAAAUAACCGGUAGAUGUAUAACCGUAUAUGAUCAGUGCAUAAUCUUUGUAUACUAGUUAGAAAAAUUAAACAGUAAAUCAGCUGGCUAUUUGGGUAAAAUCCCUUCCUCAUUUUGGGGAGAAUGACACAAAUAUGAUACUUUUGUGGCACUGUGAUUUUUUGAACUUGCUAAGAAAAUUUUGGAGAAAUAGCCUCGCUUCCAAAAUUUUAAAGCACGCAGCUAGGAUUUUGAAGCGUGCUGUCAGAUUUUUAAAGCACGCUGCCAGAAUUUUGAAGCACAGUUAGAAUUUUAAAGUAUAUACUGCCAGAAUUUCAAAGCAUAGUGCUAGAAUUUGAAGCACACUAUCAAAAAUUUAAAGCACACUGCCAAAAUUUGAAGCAAUUGCCGUAACUUACACAUUUCUUAGCGGGGUAAAAACAUAAAUUGUAGAGAAAGAUCCAUCUUACGUAAUUUCCCGCUCCUUUUGCGGAUUUUACUUGUUGGAAGUAUCGAGAUAUUGGUAGAAAUAACAAGGGCCGUCCAGUUCUUGGUUUGGUAUUUAAUUUAUAGCUAGAGUUUUAAAUGAUGAGCAACAAUAACUUGUCCCUUCGGGGACAUCCGAUAAAAAAAGC